AAUGAACGCUAGUAGUAUGCUUAACACAUGCAAGUCGGACGAAAGUUUUACACUUUCGUGGCGUACGGGUGAGUAAAUGCAGAAUUCUUCCUUCCAGUUCAGUACAAAAUUGCUUCUAGUAAUAAAUUCUGAAUAUUUUUAAAGGUUUAUUCCGCUGAAAGAUGAAUCUGCUUAAGAUUAGGUUGUUGGUAAUUUAAAAGCUUACCAAGCCGAUGAUCUUUAGUUGGUCUGAGAGGAUGAUCAACCACACUGGAACUGAAACAAGGUCCAGGCUAAUUCGUUGGCCAGCAGUGAGGAAUAUUGGAGUCAAUGAACGAAAGUUUGAUCCAGC
RNAcentral lists this ribosomal RNA (331 nucleotides) under uncultured bacterium. RNAcentral's name for it is "bacterial SSU rRNA". It matches the Rfam family "Bacterial small subunit ribosomal RNA", at positions 29 to 392 of the family's 1533-position model. The record is from RNAcentral.